GGUCUGGUAGCGAAGUGGUUGAACGCACGGGACUGCAAAUCCCGUCCCGUAAGGGCGCCGCAGGUUCGAAUCCUGCCCAGACCUCCA
Molecule: transfer RNA, 87 nt
Filed under: Shinella zoogloeoides
Lineage: Bacteria; Pseudomonadati; Pseudomonadota; Alphaproteobacteria; Hyphomicrobiales; Rhizobiaceae
Description: tRNA-Cys
Rfam family: tRNA
About the family: Transfer RNA (tRNA) molecules are approximately 80 nucleotides in length.
Source: RNAcentral